CGCGUAGGCGGCUUUAGUAAGUCUGGAGUGAAAGUCCUCUUUUCAAGGGAGGAAUUGCUUUGGAAACUAUAGAGCUUGAGUGCAGGAGAGGUUAUCGGAAUUCCCGGUGUAGCGGUGAAAUGCGUAGAUAUCGGGAGGAACAUCGGUGGCGAAGGCGGGUAACUGGACUGCAACUGACGCUGAGGCGCGAAAGUGUGGGGAGCAAACA
Molecule: ribosomal RNA, 208 nt
Filed under: uncultured bacterium
Lineage: Bacteria
Description: partial 16S ribosomal RNA
Rfam family: Bacterial small subunit ribosomal RNA
Source: RNAcentral